UCCAGCUCCAUAACCACCUGGGCCAGCCCCGUAACCUCCGGGUCCCACUCCGUAACCUCCCGGACCAGUACCAAAGCCACCAGGACCAGCUCCAUAUCCGCCAGGUUUUGCGAAUCCUGUUCCUACUCCACCAGCCCCAGGUACCAGGCCUGCUCCUCCAGGACCUCGUCCAGCUGACCCAACUCCUCCUGCAAGUCCACCAGCUCCACCAGCUGCACCUCCUGAUCCAAGUCCAGUUCCAGUAGCAGGACCGUCUCCUCUUCCUACUGCUGUUGCACCACCAGAAACACCUCCUGCUGGUCCUGCUCUGGUAGGUCCCCCUCCUACUCCUCCUGGCCCUCCACCUGUGCCUCCUGUACCACCUCUCUCUCCAUCGGGGCCAUCUUCUCCAUCUCCUUCACCUGGUGUGUCACCUCGAGGGACACCUGCAGACGGAGCCCAGAUGAUCACCAGACCAGUUUUGAGUAUAGAACUAAGACUGGAACCAAGGACUGAGUCUAGGACAAGGGAAUCUAUUCUACUAGGAGCCUGGACAUCUCUAUCACCUCCUGCACCUACUGGUCUGCCAGCUACACCAGUAACUCCUGUUUUAAUGUGAGCAUUGUCAUGGAUGGACACCUCUUUGUAGGAAAUACAGUGCAG
Long non-coding RNA from Amphiprion ocellaris (clown anemonefish), 642 nucleotides. NCBI's taxonomy places the organism in Eukaryota, Metazoa, Chordata, Actinopteri, Pomacentridae. The record is from Ensembl.